AGAGCAUAGCUCAGUGGUAGAGUGCAUGCCCCAUGUGCCUGAGGUCCUGGGUUCAAUCCCUAGUACCUCUG
RNAcentral lists this transfer RNA (71 nucleotides) under Camelus bactrianus (Bactrian camel). It matches the Rfam family "tRNA". Rfam says of the family: Transfer RNA (tRNA) molecules are approximately 80 nucleotides in length. Their secondary structure includes four short double-helical elements and three loops (D, anti-codon, and T loops). RNAcentral also lists the same sequence under 1 other name. Lineage: Eukaryota; Metazoa; Chordata; Mammalia; Artiodactyla; Camelidae. The record is from Rfam by way of RNAcentral.